Long non-coding RNA from Panicum virgatum (switchgrass), 842 nucleotides. RefSeq lists it as uncharacterized. The record is from RefSeq and is a predicted model, not a curated record. The transcript is spliced from 2 exons. NCBI's taxonomy places the organism in Eukaryota, Viridiplantae, Streptophyta, Magnoliopsida, Poales, Poaceae.
UCAUGACAUUAAUUAGAUGGACACCUCAGCAAAAAAAACUGACAUGACAAGCAAAUUAAUAGGAGAGAGGAGAGAAUCGUUUCUUCACCACGAAACGGGUCUGGCGUCGUUUCCAAGUCAAUGAAACGGAGGUGAAACGCGCACUGAGAGCUCCAUCGUUUCAUGGCGGGAUCCCGUGCGGUGGGAGGCCGCUCGCUCCGGCUUCCCGCGCUCCGCUCGGACGGUCGGACCUCUGCGCGCCAAAUCCUUCCCGCACGCGCCAAAGCCACCUCUUCUUCCCUUCCUCCAAGAUCCGCCGCCGCCUUUGCGGCUCUCAGACCGCCGCCGCCCUUCCCCUUCCCUCCAGAUCCGCCGGCGCCCCUGCCCGCCGCCGCUCCUACCAUUCACCUCCAGAUCCGCUACCGCCCCUGCCCUUCCUCCCACUGUCUGCGACGCCAUGUCCCGGCGGGGGAGAGAAGUCCCCCAGCUCAGCAGUAGCGGCAGCCCGUCCAAACGAAGCAGCGGCGGUACGAGAACUCCGGCGACUGCAGCUCCGUAGGCGUCUGCUCCUCCCGCGUCUGGUGCAGCUCCUCCCGCAUCGGCUGCACCUCCGCCGGCAGCAGCUUUUUGCUCCUGUACAAAAUUGGUACUAGAAGAUGCUGUUACUCCAAUGUUUUACUUGCAUUACUGUUUCUGCCACUAAAGAUUAUUCUCUGUAUGGUUCUCUGUAUGCUUUGGUGGUUUAGAUUUUGGUCGGCUAUGUUUUGAUAUCUGAAAAAGGAACAUGUAAUGUGCGAAUUACUUCAACGGUUUAUCAGAGCUUGUCAAAAUGAUAAUUUCAAACAUGGCUUGUUUAGAUAUUU